UACGGGGGGGGCAAGCGUUGUUCGGAAUUACUGGGCGUAAAGGGCGCGUAGGCGGUUGGAUAAGUCAGCUGUGAAAACCACGGGCUUAACUCGUGGCCUGCAGUUGAGACUGUCUGGCUUGAGUGUGGGAGAGGAGAGUGGAAUUCCUGGUGUAGCGGUGAAAUGCGCAGAUAUCAGGAAGAACACCUAUGGCGAAGGCAGCACUCUGGGACGGUACUGACGCUGAGACGCGAAAGCGUGGGGAGCGAACAGG
RNAcentral lists this ribosomal RNA (253 nucleotides) under uncultured bacterium. Its description in RNAcentral is "partial 16S ribosomal RNA". It matches the Rfam family "Bacterial small subunit ribosomal RNA", at positions 524 to 776 of the family's 1533-position model. The record is from RNAcentral.